GAUGAAGAACGUAGCAAAAUGCGAUAAGUAAUGUGAAUUGCAGAAUUCAGUGAAUCAUCGAAUCUUUGAACGCACAUUGCGCCCGCCAGUAUUCUGGCGGGCAUGCCUGUUCGAGCGUCAUUUCAACCCUCAAGCACAGCUUGGUGUUGGGACUCGCGUUAAUUCGCGUUCCCCAAAUUGAUUGGCGGUCACGUCGAGCUUCCAUAGCGUAGUAGUAAAACCCUCGUUACUGGUAAUCGUCGCGGCCACGCCGUUAAACCCCAACUUCUGAAUGUUGACCUCGGAUCAGGUAGGAAUACCCGCUGAACUUAAGCAUAUCAAUAAGCGGGAGGA
Molecule: unclassified non-coding RNA, 333 nt
Filed under: soil metagenome
Description: partial contains 5.8S ribosomal RNA, internal transcribed spacer 2, and large subunit ribosomal RNA
Rfam family: 5.8S ribosomal RNA (bases 1-120)
Source: RNAcentral